ACUCCUAACCCUUCCCUCCAAGACCCUCCACAGGCUACUCUUUCAUCGCAUCCCCCACCUCAACUCACCUGCGCAAACUCAUGGUUCAGCCAAGCUUGACAACUUUCCUUUUUUAUAGCAUCUAGCAUUUUCUCCCCUUUGCCAGACUUGCCAAUUCCAGCUGGAAUACCUCCACACAGGGCCGUCUCUCCCUGUUGACAUCCUGGUCGGCCUUCAAGGCUCACUUCAGAUGUAUCGUUCUUGAAGUUGUCCUACCCACCGAACCUGGAAGCUCACUGUCUGGAGGGUCUGUGAAGGGGUGUAGAGCUGUGGACUAUAUUCAUCCGGCCCUGAAUGGCUUUCAAUUGUGUGGGCACGGGCUUUCUCAGGACACCGUACUCAGUGGUCCUCAGAUGUCUGUAAGGAAUGAGGGCUGCUGGUCACUCAGGGACCAACUGAGGCUGCCCUUCAUGAUCCUUGCUCUUGGUGGCUGAUUCCGUGAAAGAAGUUUCAUGUCAUGCUAUGGCUUCUUCUUGAGACGAGUUGUUUAGGGAAGAAAGAGGUCUAUCCAGAAGGAGGGAGAUCUAGUGCCAGCUUGGGGAUACAUGUCACCUGGUAGAUACUGAAAGGGAAAUUGGCUUUCUUUCUUUUUUUUUUUUUUUAAUUUUUUUUAAUGUUUAUUUAUUUUUGAGACAGAGAGAGACAGAGCAUGAACGGGGGAGGGUCAGAGAGAGAGGGAGACACAGAAUCUGAAACAGGCUCCAGGCUCUGAGCUGUCAGCACAGAGCCCGACGCGGGGCUCGAACUCACGGACCGCGAGAUGGUGACCUGAGCCGAAGUCGGCUGCUUAACCAACUGAGCCACCCAGGCGCCCCGGAAAUUGGCUUUCUUUAGGCCCAGUGUUAGUCACAGGUCAUAUGUCAACAGGACAAGUAUUAACAGCAAGAGCAGCUUCUUAUGACAUUAGUAUCCAUAAGAAAAUUUAAAAACAAUUUUCUUUAGAGGGAGAUGGCUCCAAGGAGAAGAGCAGUGAAUCCUGUGAUAUGUGUGUUUUCUUUUGAUUGCUGUUUUGGUAAAAUCCUUAUUUUGUCUCUGUUCUGCAAACUGCCUUCUUUUCAAACCAUACAUUUUCUAAAAACAUUUUAAGUUUAAUUUCCAGAAAUGUAAUGCAGUUAUCUUUACUCUGAUAACAAACAUAAAUGUGAAAAGAAUGCCAAGGGUGUGAAAAUCUGCCUUGAACAAAACAUUUUUUUCUAUAUAUUAUGUUGUGCUUUUAAAAUUAUAAUCAUUUUUGAGUGGCAUAAACUCAGAGCUACAGUUGGAAAAUAUAUUUUGGAGUUUGGUUUCUUGGCAAAUGUUACUUCAAACAAAUAAGACUUACAAAAAUAAUGCUUCUCAUUUCUAAAAAGAAAAAAAAAUUGUGUUGCUAUGAAAACUGUAAAUACCAAUUUCUCAGAACAGAAAAGGCAUGUUAGUUGUUUGACAUCAUGUAAUUUUGUAGUUGAUCAAGAAAAAAAUACACUCAUUUGUAGACCUUUGAAGAAUUGGACAACAAUUUUUUUUGAAGUCCAAUAAUGUGAUUAUUCAGAAGUAGUUAGAACUAGUUAGCUUGGAUGUAUUUAAUUGCCUGCUUCUGGUUUAAGGAAAUACACUGGAUCUUGUAUGCUUAAGAAUUUUAACAGAUGCUUUUCCCUUGACUGAGUCAGUAAGUAGUAAAUGCAGCGUUAAAAUUCUGCCUUAUUCACCUGGCAAUAAAGUGAAUUCACUUCUUCUCUUUCACAGUGGGUAGGGUCAUGAAGCAGGCAGUUCCCAGAAAGUCAGCCUAAUUGGCAUAGUUCUUAGGAGCCCCUGGUCUGUCUUUCAGAGGGAUUCAGUGUCAUGAAAAUACUGACCUAUCCCUGAGUUGGAGACCUACAUGUCAUUUGAUUCAGUGCACUCUUAGAAAAGUUGUACCUGCUUCUUAACAGGGACUCCAGGAUUUGAUGAUCUUAAUUUUGAUUUAAAAAUUGAGCUUGAUGUUUUGUUUUUGUUUUUGUUUUUUUGCCUAUCUAAACGUAUUGUGGACAAUUUCAAACAUGUACAUAAUUAAACAGGAGUAUGACAACCACUUAGUUACCAUGAUCAACUUGAAAAACUUAGGAACUUCUGGCCAAUUGUGUUUCACCCAGACACUUAACCCCAACACGCCCAGUAUUAUUUUGAAGCAGUAUUUAAAAAUCAUGUGUACGUAUUUAUUGAUGCAUAACAUUUCAGUAUUUAUCUCUAAGAGAUAGGGCUCUCUUUUUAAAACUAUUAUCACACCAAGGGAAAAAUUGAACAAAAAUUCCAUAGUAUCAACAUAUAGUCAGUGUUUAAAUUUCCAAUUGUGUGUGUGUGAGUGUGUGUACUCUUUCUAGUUUGAUUUUUUUGACUCAAUCCAAAUAUUAUAAUAAUAUAAUAUAUAUUAUAUAAUAUAAUAUAUAAUAAUAUAAGACCACAUAUUAUACUUGGUUGCUGUGUAUUUUAAUGCAUUUUUAAUAUAAAAGUUUUAACUAUGAAAAAUUCAAACUUACAGAAAAGUAAAGAAAAAAAUAUGUAUCAGGCAUGCAUUUAACAAAUGUUAACCUGUUGCCAUAUUUGCUUCAGACAUUUCUUUGCCUUUUUUUUUUUUAGAAUAUUCAAUAUAGCGUCCCUCCCCUUAUUUUUCCUUUUUUUCCCCAUUUAAACAAUAUUCUAUAAUUGGUGCAUAUCAUUUCUAUAAUUCUAUAAUUGGUGCAUGUCAUUUCUAUAGUAUGUUUUUAUGUUCUUGCUACAUACCUGUAUGCAUAAAUAUAUAUUUUUGUUUUUAUAUUCUAUAUAAUGUUUGUCUUUUUGCAACUAUUUUUUUUCCACUCAAUGUGCAUAUUCAUACAUGUAAUUCAAAUAGUUCAAUUUAAACUGCUGUAUACUAUUCCCUUAUAGAAUAAAUGCCAGCUUAUUUGUUACUAGUGAACAGUUAGGAUGUUUCCAGUUUUUUUACUCCUACAAAUGAUUCUCAGUAAAUAUCCUUUUAUGCAUUCCCCUUGUGUAUAUGAAUGAGAGUUUAUUUACAUGAUAACACCUAAAAGUGAUGGCGAUGUCUUUGGUUUUGCUGGGUAUUAUUUCUCUCUAAAGUUAAAUAAUUCAAUUAUCAGCAUCUAUAUAUGAGAUUUCCAGUUUCUCCAGAACUUCCCCAACACUCAGUAUUGUUAGGUUUCUAAAUUUUGCCAAUCUCAUGGGUAUGAAAUGGUAACUCCCAUUCUUAGAAUUUGUACUUCCCUAAUUACUCGUGAGAUUUAGUGUCUUUUUGUAUUUAUUUGCCAUUUAGGUUUCCUCUUUGGUGAAGUGACUAUUUUUAAAGGUGUUUUUCUAACAACAGAUUUUGGAAUUUCAGGUGUUCAGUAUUACUUAUGCAGGCAAAUUAAUUGUUUUCAAAUGGUUCAAUAUGGUUUUAACUUUGAGAAAUAGUUGUAGGAGAAAUCAUAUUUAUAGUUAUAUGUAGAUACUUUACGAUUGCAAAAGGACAUUUGUGACAGAGCUAAGGUCUUUCAGGAUGGAGAAAAAUCAACCAUAUAUGCAGAAGCUACUUAAAAUAAUGUUGUUUUUGACUAUUCUAUUUUACUGAGUCUUUAACCAUAUAUCUUCUUCAUUUGCUUACUUUUUUCCUACCUCCCAACUAUGUUUUCCUCCAUAGCUUGUGUACCUCUCAGUAACUGACCAAUAUUAGUUUCCACACACUCAACACGUCCGAUAUCUAUCUGCUUCAUUUUCUGUCCUUGAAAUUUCCCUUCCAGGAUCCUCUGUCCUCCUUUUCCAAUAAGCCCUUGUUGUUCCAUGCCUGCUAUAUAGGUGUCACCCUUCAUACUCCUCCUGUGACAGAUCCCGUGUGCUCAGUCUCAUUUUUUAUCUUUUAUGACCUAUUCCUUUAUGUGGUGGAUCUUGCCUUCAAAUGUUCCCAAGAAAAGCCGUAAUGAAAGCACAUUUUUUUCCAAAUAACUAACUUGAAAUGUAUUUUUCACAUCAUUUAUUUUUGCUUUUAUACUUGGUUUUUGUAAUAUAUUUAGGCUUAGAAUUCCAGAUCAAAAAUCAUUCUCCUUCAGGGGCACCUCCAUGGCUCAGUCGGUAAAGUGUCUGACUCUUGAUUUCAGCUCGGAUCAUGAUCUCAUGGUCUUGAGCUCGAGGCCUGCAUAGAGCCCCGUGUCAGACUCUGUGCUGAAUGUGGAACCUUCUUAAGAUUCUCUUCUCCCUCCCUCUGCCCCUCUCCCUUGCACCCUCUCUCUUUCUCAAAAAAUAAUUUAUUCUCCUUCAGAAUUUUGAACGGUUUGAUUAUUCUGCUUCUUAGGGUUUCUGUUGAGAAGUCUGAUGUCAUUCUUAUUUCUAAUUCUUUGUGACCUGUUCUCAAUUUUGGAAGCCUUUGCAUUUCUUUCUUUAUCCCUUGUUGGAUGAAUUGUAUUAUAUGUCUUCAUGUGGUCUUUUGUUAAAACCAUUCUUACUGGUUACUUGAGACAUUUUCUUUGAUUGUGGGAAAUUUUCUUUAAAAAAAUCUUCUCAUCAUUAUUAUCUUAUUGGAACUGUUUCUCGUUCAUAGUUGGACCUCUUGGGUCCUCUGAUUUUUCUGCUUAUUCCGCCCCCACCCCCACUUCUAUUCCCAUUUCUUAAUGUUUUUGUUUUCCUUUCUGGGGGAUUUUCUUAUCCUUAACCUCCUACUAGUCCAUUGACUUUUUUUUUUUUUUUUAAUUCAGCUAGCAUAUUUUUAAUUUCAAGAGAUUUUCCUUUUUCUCUUAUAGUUGAUAUUUUAUGGAAUCUUGCUUUGUAGUUGAAUGUCUUUUAAAUAUUUCUUUGAAGAUAUUAGAGAUUUUCUUGAGCUUCCUGUAUUCUUGAGUUCUGUUUUUUUAAGUUAGGCUUGUGUCUGUAUUUGCAUUAGGCUCUCCCUUUCAUAUUCCAUAGUAUACCUACCAUUGUGUAUUGCUGUGAGAAUUGAGUUGAAUGUUUCACUCAAAGUCAACUAAUGUUAGUGGCUUAAAGACAGAAGCCCUAUAAUGCAAUUCUGUCUUGACUACAUCCAUUUGAUUCUGCUGAGAAGGCAAGGGUUAGGCUAAAUGAAAAUUUAAGGUACUUUCAACAUAUAAGCAUUCGAAACUGGUUGACUAUCAGGACUUUGAGUAGAUAAAUUUUUUGUAUCAGGUAUACACUAAUUCCUUUGGCAAUAUGUUUUUAUACCUACCAUUAUUAUAAACUGAAAUCAACUUUGAUAUUGUCAGACUAAAUGUAUUACCUUCUAUUUCUUAAAUGUUACAUCUUAGUUUUAGUAAACUCAAAAGGCUGAAGAAUAGGAAUCUAAAUUACAAGAGAAACUUACCAAUUCUUUGCCAUCAACAAAUACACCCAGGGUAUAAAAGAUCUUUUCUGAUUAUGGUUCACUUGGGAGACGUUAAAUUUUCUAGGCAAAAGCAAAGGGACAUAUUUGAAUCUGUAUCAUAUCUUAUAGGUAGCUAUAAAAUCAAAUGAACCUAAUUUAUUUUAUGAAACAGAGCGCCCCAAAUUGUGUAUCUUUCUAAAUAGAUAAAAACCCAUACGCACACACUUGCCAAUGACUUGUCAUACAGUUGCAUUAAAAUUGAUGUAAACACAUUCAGCAUCCAGAGGAGGCCCCUAAUUUAUUGCCACAGUGUUCCAUUUUUUUUUUUCAGAUGUAUAGGAGCUACGCUGUUGGAAUAACAGAGAACCCUUUAUAAUUUUAUAGUCCAAAUAUAUGUGAGGCUAUGCACUUUAAAAAAUAUACCAUGGAACAUUUCAAAUGUAUACAAAAGUAGAAUUGUUUAAUGAGUUCUCAGCUCUAAUGAUGACCAACACACAGACAAGCCAAUCCUGGUUCAUCAGUGCUCAUAUCUCUCUCUCACACUGGGUUAUCUUAAAGCAAAUCCAGGAUAUCCUAUGAUUUCAUUUCAAAAUACUUGAGUAUCUUUCUUUAAAAGGCAAGAAGUGUUUUUUUUUUUUAAGCAUCACCACAAUAUCUUUAUUACACCUAAAAAACUUUAUACUUGAAACCAUACUGUCAGUACAUGAAUUUCUCUGUCUCAACUUUUUCCCCUUGGUUUGUUUGAUCCAAAUAAUUUCAUAUAUUGUAUUUGGCUUGUAUAUCUCUUAGAUCUCUUUUAAUCUAAAUUUCUCCUGCCCCCCCCCCUUUUUUAAGUCUUAUAAUUAUUUGAAAAGACAGUGUUGUUUGUUUUUUGAAAAGACAUUUAUUUCCUGGAAGAAAAUCAUUUUUUUUAAAUGUCCUACAUUCUAAAUUUUUCUGCUUGCUUUCCUAUAGUGUUAUUUAAUGUAUUAUUCUUCCCCCCGUGUUUUCUGUAACCUGGGUAGUUGGGAUAGGUGUUUGGUGUUUGACUAGAUAGAGGCUUUUUUGACCUGAAGAAUCUUCACAGAUCAGAUUAUAUGUUUCCUAUAUUGUCCAUGUUAUACAUUUCCUGUUGCAUCCUAUCACGAGGCCAACCAUGUCUGUUUAUCUUUUUAUGAUAUUAUAUCUGAUCUGUGGGUUCAGAUAUUGUCGGCUUGAUCCAUCCACUACAAAGCUCUCCAUCUGCUUUUCUCCUAAUAACUUGAGCAGCCACUGUCGAUAAUUGCCCGUGUCCACCAGAAGGACAUCACGUACAAGUUUAAGAGUUUCUGAAUUUGGAAAACCUCACUUAUUUUCAGCUUCCUGCCCCUGACCUAUUCUGACAUCUUGGUCAUUUGUUGUUUCUUUCUUAAUGUAUAAUAGAUUUGCCUUUUUUUUAUGGUACCGGUUCCCCAAAUACGUUAUGUGGAACGUACCAAGCACACUGUGAGAAAAGUCCCCCUCAGUUUGGAGGGUGCCACAUACUCUUUUCCCCCCUCAGAGAUUUAUGAUACAGGUGAGCCGAUUAAAGGUCUGAGGAAUCUGUUAAGAAACUUGAUUUGCCCACAGUUUCAUCAGCUUCCUUGACCACUGUAUUUAUUCUUCUGUCAUUAAUACCUGUUAGUAUCUUGUUUAGAGAAACACUUUGAAACGCAUCCUAAAGAAGAGAGGAAGGCAGAGGCACUUGCCCCAUCCUCUCAUGGGGCUUGCUAACGUUAAGGUCGUGAGUCCAUAACAUUGGCACCUUAUGGGGAGAAAGGAGAGCGAGAGCAAAUCAAAGUUCAUAUAAUAGACUUGGUUCAUCAUACCAUGUCUUGUGUUAAUCUCGUCUUCAUUGUAUCGGUUGCUUCAGUUGUUCUGUUUCUUGUCAAUGUUACCUACAUAACUCCAGGUGAUUCAAAUGUUAAUUACUGAUAAGACAAUAAAGUCCAGCUAUAACAGUUACAAUUUAAAAAAUUAUAACUAUUUCCUUUUAUAUGUUAUAAAUUUCUUCAUGCACAUGGACCCCCAGAGCACAUUUCUGUUAUUUUAGUUCAGGUGUAUUACUGUAGAUGGGGAGUAGUAAGGAAUCCUAACACGGACCCCCAGAGCACAUUUCUGUUAUUUUAGUUCAGGUGCAUUACUGUAGAUGAGGAGUAGUAAGGAAUCCUAACACUAAUGGAGACUGUUGGUUUCAGAUGCCAACGCCGGGUUCGUUUUCAUGCCAGAGGUUCACAUGCUGCUUGUGCCUCACUAUGGAAAAUAGAGUCGAGCAAAAUUAGUGACAUAGACCAAUUUUCCUUUGCUCUGAAGAUACCUCAAGUUCUGUACAAGAAAUGUUUUCCAUUAGAAGAAAAAUGCCGUGUAUUAACGCUCCUGAGAAAAAAUAGUGAUCGCCAGUAAUGCCAUCAGGAAACGAUUUUUUCAAUGUUUCACAGUGUAAGCAUGAAUCAAACAUUAAACAGGGACUACAACUUAUUCUGCAGACUUGGAACAUUAAUCAAAAAUUUUUUUGAGGUGGAGUUAUUCUAGGAAAGUGUGAAUUUUGAUUUUAGGAACAUGCGUAAGGGAUGUAGUAAUCAGAAGCACAAGUCAGAACACUUCAUUAAAAUAAACAAGAACAGAGCCAAGGCCCAGAAGACACGAAGCACUGUGUUGUGAGUUUUGUUUGGGAGAAUGGAAUGGGAUGAGACACAGAGGCCUGAGCAAGGCAUCAUCAAUGAUCCCGACAGUCGACUCAGUGUGCUUUUUGUAGCACUGGGUGCUGGGUGCCUGGCCAUUGGCCAUACGUUGAGUUAAAUUCUAGAUGUCCCCAGUUGAUAUUUAUGAUGAAAGUUAUACUGGUGCUUUUAAAUUUAAAUGAAGCUUAAACAUUAUCAUAAUUUAAGAUGCUUUUCUAUUCAGAAAAUCCAGAAAAGGCAAAUAUUACACUAAUUAUUUAAACAUGAUAGACAACUCCUUUUGACGUGUCACAGACUUUUUCUUCCUGACAAGUUACUCUUAAGUCUGCUGUUCUUUGAAGGGAAGAUUGCGUGCAGGUUUUGACUGUAAACAUUAUCUUCUCAAUAGGUAGUUUUCCAAAUACUGUCCGUUGAAGACUCUAUGUUGGCUCAGUCAGAUAGGUGUUGUUGAGAAGAAUGAAGGUAGAAGGGUGGGGCAUAGGUCUGGAAAUUACCUUAAAAACAUUAUCUUAGAUGCAACUUAAGGUAAUACAUUUGUAUUUCUUGAGCAUAAAGCAGUUUAAAAACACAUCCAUUUGUUGUUCCCUCAGAAUAUUAUUUGGUGAAGUGCUAAGCCAAAGUCCAAAUGUAUAAAUUCUCAUACAGUAGAAGUUCAAGAGGCCAGAAGGGUGAUUUUAGUCACGUCCUUCAUGAACUGAAGCCCAAACAGAAAUGACUUGCCCAAGGUUACGAUUUACCUUGUGGUUUAUUUAACUCUUGGGUUAGGAGGCGCUUCGUUCAUUUUUAAUAUGGCACAUGGUCGCAUGGUACACUUUGAGUUUAUAGAAAAGAACCACUUAUCCAGUUGGCUCAGAAGAAGAAUGAUGGUGAGCCGACGGAAGGAAUUCUCAUUUUGCAUCCUACUAGUAUCAGCUUUUCAGGAGCUGAUUUCUAUAGUUGUAAGUCAUCCUACACCCCAGAUUCUCUUUCCUGAUUGUCUAAAAUUCCAACAGCAGGUGAGAAGUGUGAAAAUGGUCAGUGUAAACGUCCGCCAACAGGUUGCAACUAAGGGCUGAAAACAGGGAGAUUUAGGCAACUGUCUGUGGAUACGUAUCAGUGUGUGGUGUGGGGCAUAUCGCUUGGUAGCACGGGUGCUUUUUGCCCCCCACUCCAAAAUGUGGGUACUUAGAAUUUUUUAAAACUUCAUUAGCAGGUGGACUUAGACCCCACAUUGGACCUAUGGAAAUUUCUUGUGAAGGGUGAAGUUGUUUGGUGUGAAAAUUUUCAGUUAG
Molecule: long non-coding RNA, 9284 nt
Organism: Acinonyx jubatus (cheetah)
Lineage: Eukaryota; Metazoa; Chordata; Mammalia; Carnivora; Felidae
Exons: 2
Source: RefSeq, a predicted model, not a curated record